AGCGAACGCUGGCGGCGUGCCUAACACAUGCAAGUCGAACGUGAACGCGAUCAAUCCUAGGUCAAGUGGCGUACGGGUGAGUAACACGUAGGUAAUCUACCCCAGUCUCUGGUUUCACCGGCCGAAAGGUUGGCUAAUACUGGCUAGAACGGCGUACUCCGUAAUUGGGUUUUCCGGGAAACGUCGCCUGUAAAAAGGCCUUCGUUCUGGGUUUCGCCUGCGUCCCAUCAGCUGGUUGGUGGGGUAAAAGCUUACCAAGGCAAUGACGGGUAGCUGGUCUGAGAGGAAGAUAAGCCACACUGGAACUGAAACACGGUCAAGACUCCUACGGGAGGCAGCAGGGGGGAAGCUUGAGCAAUGGACGAAAGUCUGACGCAGCAACGCCGCGUGAGUGAAGAAGGCCUUCGGGUUGUAAAGCUCUGUCGAGUGGGACGAAAAUGCUUGGAGUUCACAGCUCCAGGAACUGACGGUACCACUAAAGGAAGCACCGGCUAACUCCGUG
This 502-nucleotide ribosomal RNA is filed under the name uncultured bacterium. RNAcentral describes it as "partial 16S ribosomal RNA". It matches the Rfam family "Bacterial small subunit ribosomal RNA", at positions 29 to 507 of the family's 1533-position model. The record is from RNAcentral.